This 460-nucleotide ribosomal RNA is filed under the name uncultured bacterium. RNAcentral describes it as "partial 16S ribosomal RNA". It matches the Rfam family "Bacterial small subunit ribosomal RNA", at positions 338 to 795 of the family's 1533-position model. The record is from RNAcentral.
CCUACGGGAGGCAGCAGUGAGGAAUAUUGGUCAAUGGACGCAAGUCUGAACCAGCCAUGCCGCGUGCAGGAAGACGGCUCUAUGAGUUGUAAACUGCUUUUGUACGAGGGUAAACGCAGAUACGCGUAUCUGUCUGAAAGUAUCGUACGAAUAAGGAUCGGCUAACUCCGUGCCAGCAGCCGCGGUAAUACGGAGGAUUCAAGCGUUAUCCGGAUUUAUUGGGUUUAAAGGGUGCGUAGGCGGUCGGAUAAGUUAGAGGUGAAAUCUCGAGGCUCAACUUCGGAAUUGCCUCUGAUACUGUUCGGCGAGAGAGUAGUUGCGGUAGGCGGAAUGUAUGGUGUAGCGGUGAAAUGCUUAGAGAUCAUACAGAACACCGAUUGCGAAGGCAGCUUACCAAGCUACUUCUGACGUUGAGGCACGAAAGCGUGGGGAGCAAACAGGAUUAGAUACCCGGGUAGUC